CAGGAUAGGAAAAAGAGAAGCUCUAAGCACUUAAAGUGAAGAGAAAGGGAGAUAUAUUAAAAUGACAUUUUACAAUAGAAGUAAAUGAAGGAAAAUGGUCAUGGGGAAUGUAGGACUGACAAGGAUAUAAAAAGUGACCUUUAGCUCCUCUGUAAAAUAUGAGUGAGCUCAUUUGUUGAGAAUGAGGGAAUGUGGAGAAAUGAGGUC
This 207-nucleotide long non-coding RNA is filed under the name Bos taurus (domestic cattle). RNAcentral describes it as "long non-coding RNA NONBTAT011361". The record is from RNAcentral. Lineage: Eukaryota; Metazoa; Chordata; Mammalia; Artiodactyla; Bovidae.